CGGCACGGGUGAGUAACACGUAUGCAACCUGCCUGCCACAGCCGGAUAAUCGGGAGAAAUUCCGUUCUAAUACGGCAUAAUGCAUCGACGGGACAUCCUGUUGGUGCCAAAGGUUAAUUCCGGUGGCGGAUGGGCAUGCGUCGCAUUAGUUAGUUGGCGGUGUAACGGACCACCAAGACGACGAUGCGUAGGGGUUCUGAGAGGAAGGUCCCCCACACUGGUACUGAGACACGGACCAGACUCCUACGGAAGGCAGCAG
Molecule: ribosomal RNA, 259 nt
Filed under: uncultured bacterium
Lineage: Bacteria
Description: partial 16S ribosomal RNA
Rfam family: Bacterial small subunit ribosomal RNA
Source: RNAcentral